Corylus avellana is the source of this 466-nucleotide non-coding RNA. The record is from RefSeq and is a predicted model, not a curated record. Lineage: Eukaryota; Viridiplantae; Streptophyta; Magnoliopsida; Fagales; Betulaceae.
GUCCCACACCCCUCAUCAUUCCCUCACUCUCACUCUCUCUCUCUCUCUCUCUCUCACUCCGACGCGGCACACGUUUCUCUCUCCGGCGCACUCAACUCUCUCCGGUUGCUAUCUCUCUGGCGUACCUCUCUCCGGAAUAUGUCUUCAUUUGCUGCUUGAGUGCUGGGAUAUCCCUAUUUUGGGUUUUUGCCUUGGACACCAGGGAAGGAGUAACUUGUGAUAGUGACAUCGAGAUGGAUAAGAGUUGGAUGCAAGAACCUAUUCGAUGUUCAGAUCGAUAUCUAAAAGGACUUGAAGAAUUCCUUACAAUGGCGCGUCCAUGUGUGGAUGUAAAUAGUAUUAUGAGGUGUCCAUGUUGUGAUUGUGCAAAUCGAUAUUUUCGUCAUAUUGAAUUGGUGGAGAGUCACUUCCAUAUGCAAUGCUUGCACCAACUUGUUUUAAUGGUUUAGCUAUUAUUCCUUUGCUU